Molecule: ribosomal RNA, 497 nt
Filed under: uncultured bacterium
Lineage: Bacteria
Description: partial 16S ribosomal RNA
Rfam family: Bacterial small subunit ribosomal RNA
Source: RNAcentral
GAUGAACGCUGGCGGCGUGCCUAAUACAUGCAAGUCGAGCGAACAGACGAGGAGCUUGCUCCUCUGACGUUAGCGGCGGACGGGUGAGUAACACGUGGAUAACCUACCUAUAAGACUGGGAUAACUUCGGGAAACCGGAGCUAAUACCGGAUAAUAUAUUGAACCGCAUGGUUCAAUAGUGAAAGACGGUUUUGCUGUCACUUAUAGAUGGAUCCGCGCCGCAUUAGCUAGUUGGUAAGGUAACGGCUUACCAAGGCAACGAUGCGUAGCCGACCUGAGAGGGUGAUCGGCCACACUUGAACUGAGACACGGUCCAGACCCCUACGGGAGGCAGCAGUAGGGAAUCUUCCGCAAUGGGCGAAAGCCUGACGGAGCAACGCCGCGUGAGUGAUGAAGGUCUUCGGAUCGUAAAACUCUGUUAUUAGGGAAGAACAAAUGUGUAAGUAACUAUGCACGUCUUGACGGUACCUAAUCAGAAAGCCACGGCUAACUACGUG